RNAcentral lists this ribosomal RNA (385 nucleotides) under Ophelina cf. abranchiata NHM_2017. Its description in RNAcentral is "partial 16S ribosomal RNA". It matches the Rfam family "Bacterial large subunit ribosomal RNA", at positions 1990 to 2619 of the family's 2925-position model. The record is from RNAcentral. Lineage: Eukaryota; Metazoa; Annelida; Polychaeta; Opheliidae.
GGAUGAAUGGGAUAAAGACUGUCUUUUUUAUUUGUAUAUAAAUUGAUUUUCAGGUGCAGAGGCCUGAAUUUUAGCGUAGGACAAGAAGACCCUAUUGAGCUUUAUCUAAUGAGGUCAAAUUGGCUAUAGUUGGGUUUGGUUGGGGCGACAGAGGAAUUCACAGAACUUCCUUUUUUUGUUUGACUUACUUGUCUUUUAUUGAGCCAGGUGACUGAUUAAAGGAACAAGCUACCAUAGGGAUAACAGGCUAAUUUUCUUUGAGAGUCCAUAUUGACAAGAAAGUUUGGCACCUCGAUGUUGGCUUAGGGUGUCCUAUUAGUGCAGAAGCUAAUAAUGGUGGGUUCGUUCAACCUUUAAAACCCUACGUGAUCUGAGUUCAGACCGG